Molecule: ribosomal RNA, 415 nt
Filed under: uncultured bacterium
Lineage: Bacteria
Description: bacterial SSU rRNA
Rfam family: Bacterial small subunit ribosomal RNA
Source: RNAcentral
ACGCUGGCGGCACGCCUAACACAUGCAAGUCGAACGAAGUAGCAAUACUUAGUGGCAGACGGGUGAGUAACAUGUAGGUAUCUGCCCUUUGGCCUGGAAUAACACGAGGAAACUUGUGCUAAUACCGGAUAAGUCUUUACGGAGAAAGCUUUAUGCACCAUUGGAUGAGCCUGCACUUGAUUAGUUUGUUGGUGGGGUAAUGGCCUACCAAGACUGUGAUCAAUAGCUGAUUUGAGAGGAUGAUCAGCCACAUUGGGACUGAGACACGGCCCAAACUCCUACGGGAGGCAGCAGUGGGGAAUCUUGCACAAUGGAGGAAACUCUGAUGCAGCGAUGCCGCGUGAGUGAAGAAGGCCCUUGGGUUGUAAAGCUCUUUCGUCGGGGAAGAAAAUGACUGUACCCGAAUAAGAAGGUC